CCCUCGCGCAGGUACGUACAUUCCCACUAAGCGGAGAAUGAAAGCGCAGAGAUCAAAUGUGCCGUCCUUGCGCCAGAGCUUUAUGCUGAGGGAGACCCGUGCCUGCUGAGGGAAGUGUCACCGCAACAUACCCAUCGCAGCCAGCAAGGAGGGAGAGGGAAAUGGGCCCGUGCUCCUCGAGGCUGAGUGACUUGCCAGCGUCAGGAGAGAGGGACGUCUGCUCUGAGGCUAAUGCCGCUGCCUGUUUCCUUGGGAAGGUGGUCGGCCUGGCUGAUUGCACCCCGCGACCACCACAGCUCGGGUUCAAGUUCUGCAAGCAGGACCCGCAGAUUUGCCAGGAGCUGGACAAGAUGCCAGCAGCCAAGGAUUUGUGGCCUAGCCCGGUCCUGCCAGAUGAGCAGGUGCCACCAGCCCCUGGGCUGCAAUCUCAGGUAGGAAGAGAGAUUUCAGAGAGGGCAGGCUGAGGCCUCAGGAGCCAAUGAUCUCUGGUGCACAUGCCGUGAUGGAGAAGCUGCCAGGGAGCAUCUCAGCCUGCCUUCAUCUCUUUUCAAUUAGCAGGGGAAAGCACAAGCCAGAGACUUUGCUGCUCUCAGAAAGAAGAGUUAAGCAGAGAUGCACAUUUAUUGCAGUACUUGAAUCUCUGCUCAAAGCUGAGGAAGUAGUAAAAAUAGCAUAUUUUUCUCUUAAAAGCUCCUCUUGUGAAUGAGAAACUCAGCCAGUUCCGUGUCUGAAAGGACAUUAAAGGUUCAGUCAGAAGUCUCCUACAUGCUUAAAUGCUUGGGCAUAACUAAGAGUUGGAGCCUCCUAGCAGAUCACCCAGGCACCCACGUCUCCAGAGCCUAUUUGAGCAGGACCUGCUGAUGGCUGCUCUUCCCUUUCCUGCUCAGGUGAGUAGGCAUGAUACCCUCUCUCUGAUCUCAUGACACUGUGACAGUAACGUCCACCUUCUCACCAUGGAGAUACACUUUCUGU
Molecule: long non-coding RNA, 972 nt
Filed under: Struthio camelus australis
Lineage: Eukaryota; Metazoa; Chordata; Aves; Struthioniformes; Struthionidae
Description: lncRNA (ENSSCUG00000004365.1)
Source: RNAcentral